This is a long non-coding RNA of Bombus pyrosoma, 1180 nucleotides long. RefSeq lists it as uncharacterized. The record is from RefSeq and is a predicted model, not a curated record. Lineage: Eukaryota; Metazoa; Arthropoda; Insecta; Hymenoptera; Apidae. The transcript has 6 exons.
GUAAAAGACGUGUCUAUAAGAGAAAUAUAUUUUUCGGACGAUCUUGUAUAAUCGGCGCAGAGACAUUUGCGCAGCGUACAGGAUUCGCUUAUAAUUCAGAAGCGUAGUCAAUGAAGAAGCAGUACGAAUCUGCCUUUGUUAGGGACGGUGUUGUUCAACAGUCGUUCCAUAUUCGAAAUGCGGUAAUGUGGACGUGCUACGGAAUAGUUACCUAUUUAAACGUUACAAUUUUUGUGUUUAGCAAAUGUUUGAGCAAUUGGAUGGGUCAUGCGGCAACCAGAUAGACUAUUCCACAUGUGGAAAAUCCUCCCCUGAUGCACUUCGUGAUACACAAAGAAGCUUAUUCCAGCAACACGAUUCUUCAUAAAUUCUUUUCCGUGCUGUUAUGAUCCAGUAGUAGAGUCCCAUUUCAACUUCAUUUUUGCAAAUGGAACCAUAUAUUUUUUAAUACAUUCAUCGAUUUAUCUUCGUAUUCCUUAUGGAAAUAUUAAAAGGAAAUGUUAGUUCACCAGAUAUCUUAACUUGAAGUCGUCGUAUAAAAACCAGCAUAAAUACAAUAUCGCUUCGCGUCCUAUGCUUAUCUUUCAUACGACAAAUUAAACGUAGGAUAUAAUCUAAAUCAACAGUUUUUCGACAUAAAUAGGUUAAUACUUCUUUGUAUGAUAUGAAACGGUUAUAUGAUAUCGGUUACACCGCUGUUGCUUACAAAGUACGAGUUUUGACUGAUUUGUAGAUAAAAAAAAAAAAGAAUAAUAACGAGAAAGAACCGAUCUGAAGGACGAACCUUUCAUUUACCUCCGAAUCUCUUAUCAAACAGGUCAUAUUGUAGGAUGUGAACAUACUUUCCGCGGUGAACCUUUUUGUAGACAUGAACACACAUAAGAUAUAUGGAUGCUAUUAUUUCGUUUAACGGAAUCAUCGAACAACACAAACAAUUCUUUUUCACGUUAUUUUUCGAGAUACCAAGCCGCAAGUUCUUAAUGGGAACUACGACGGUUGACUGAAAUGAAACAGAAAGGAAAUGAAAAUUCAAUUCAUUACCUAUAAAAUAUGUUAAUUAUUUAUCGACAUAAUUGCCAUUUGCAUCAAUCCAUAUUUGGCAACGCGUGACAAGUUUCUUCAUUCCGUCAGCGAAGAAUUCUGCUGGAUACUUCUAGUAAACUUUUGAUAAACAACUUUA